RNAcentral lists this ribosomal RNA (497 nucleotides) under uncultured bacterium. RNAcentral describes it as "partial 16S ribosomal RNA". It matches the Rfam family "Bacterial small subunit ribosomal RNA", at positions 28 to 507 of the family's 1533-position model. The record is from RNAcentral.
GAUGAACGCUGGCGGCGUGCCUAAUACAUGCAAGUCGAGCGAACAGACGAGGAGCUUGCUCCUCUGACGUUAGCGGCGGACGGGUGAGUAACACGUGGAUACCCUACCUAUAAGACUGGGAUAACUUCGGGAAACCGGAGCUAAUACCGUAUAAUAUAUUGAACCGCAUGGUUCAAUAGUGAAAGACGGUUUUGCUGUCACUUAUAGAUGGAUCCGCGCCGCAUUAUCUAGUUGGUAAGGUAACGGCUUACGAAGGCAACGAUGCGUAGCCGACCUGAGAGGGUGAUCGGCAACACUGGAACUGAGACACGGUCCAGACUCCUACGGGAGGCAGCAGUAGGGAAUCUUCCGCAAUGGGCGAAAGCUUGACGGAGCAACGCCGCGUGAGUGAUGAAGGUCUUCGGAUCGUAAAACUCUGUUAUUAGGGAAGAACAAUUGUGUAAGUAACUAUGCACGUCUUGACGGUACCUAAUCAGAAAGCCACGGCUAACUACGUG